ACACACGGUGAUGGAGGGGAGCAGCCCAGGCGUGAACGCGGGCACCGGCACACGGGAGCCAAGAGCACGCAUGCGCACCCAAAAGCACUCACUAUGCUAUACUGGCGAGCCGCGGCGCUGAGAGGCAUCUCCUGAAGCGACUUGGUUUUGUUGUUGCUUGCCCGCGUGAAGCGGUGGUGGCGGGGGCGCACGUUUCAUGAUGUUGCACCCCCGGCCCAGCCCACCCGCCACCGUCUCGGAAAGAGCCGUGGGACAGCCUGGAAGGCCUGCUGGUUUGCUUGCGCCCUACGCGCCCGGCGAGCGUCUUCGAGGGCCACCCCCUCGGCACGGGCGCCUUGUCGCCGAGGUGUCGGGGAUGGCGCACCCGGUAGGGAUGCCCCGGGCCGGCAAGAGGGGCUGCACCGUGGGCGGUCCGGCGUGUACGUGAAGGGCGCCGUCGCCAGGGUGAUGGGCAACGCGACCUGGACGCUGCUGACGGAUGCUGGCGAAGGGGUGCGCUCUGCGGCACCUGUGCGCAUGGUGGCGCGGGAGCCGCCUAGGAAACCGCACCGCAACGCAAAGCUGCUGUAACGCUGGUAAGCGGGGUGCUGCUGCGUGCGCGACCCGCGCGCCGUGGAGGUCAUCGCGCUCAUCCUCUCUAGCGGCGGCUGGGGGGUGGGGGCGGAGCGGAUGUUACUGCUGGGAAAGAGCGGAUCUACCGCACUCUGUGUCUGCAUCGGAGCCGGAGCGGGACGGCAUUGGCGAGAGGGCGUAGUGGGUGCGCGACCAGCACGGGGCGAUUCGCAUGCUGCACGGCGAGCGGGUGAGGGGCAUGAGGCUUUGCUGUACCCUGGCCAAGCGCAAGGGCGCCGUGAGCGGUGUUGCGGGCAUGCUUGUGGUGCGCUGCGUCCUCACGACGAGCCUGCGCGCCCACAGGCGGCAGCAGAGGCGGGGGCCGUGCACUCCGGCCCGCCAUCCAGGACCUCCCUCCCAUGGCCGCGCGGUGGUCCCUGGGCGAGGGUGUGCUCGCGACGGCCGGCGGGGACCUCGUUGUGAAGCGCACGGAUGAGUAGGCGGUGGCGCGCAGUGUGCUUUUGCAGGUGGUGCCGUCACAUCCCCGUAUCUUCGCAUCCCUGCCAUCACCGGUGGCUGUGGCGCGCGCAGGAGUGCGCUGUGCCGAAACGCCGUACGCGUUGCGGGCGUGCCGCUUGCGCACAUGUGAAUCCAUGGCUCGGAGGGCGCGGUGGAUGCGGUGGGGAGAAAGAAUAGCGACGUCGACGAGCUGCACGGGUGCGCUCGAGCGUCCCGGAUGGCCUCCCCGUGCGGCGCUGCCGCAGCUGUCUUCGACGCCUUUCGCCGAUGGCUUGCAGGAUGGCGCCUUUGAGGACAUGUCGGUUCUCCGCCAGCGAGGCUGCGGGAGACGGCGCUGCGCAAGGCUGUGCCGGACGAGUGGCGCUUUGCGCCGCAGGUCGUUCUCACGGCGGCGCGCUGCAUGUUGGUCUGGCAUGUGGACGGGACCGGCGUGUUUGUGCGGAUGCCGACAGCUGCGUGCGGGUGCAGGUCUCUUACCGAGCACUUGUUGCUGAGGGAAGUCGUGGUGACAGGCGACUGGGGGAGGGGAGGAAUGGGGCGCUCGCCCGCUGCGGAGGCUCCGCUGCUUGUGCUGAGAAACCAGGCCUGUCCCCCCAGGAAAGUUGCAGCUGACUCACGCGGUGUGAGGGGCAGUGCACGCGCGGAGUCACCGAUGCAUGCGCAUAAGUGUGUGUGUGUGUGUGCUGUGGUGAGUGGGUGCGCCUUGGACAGUAGAUGCUGACGGACAACUGACGCGCUCCCCUUUUCCUGGCCGCCUCCUCCUCUCCGCUCUAGGUCUGCAGGCGAGUGCGCCUGUCCCUGCGAACGGGCUUGGAUGCACGGCAUCCCCUCAUACCAGGUCCCACGGAUCCCACUCCAUUGCGAUCCUUCUCUCACGCCGUUAGGAGGUGUGCCGGAGAGGUGUGUUGCAUAUGCGGCUGUGAUCGUGACAGUGCAGAGGAAGCCCCUCUUCCGCUGGGCUCCGAUGGACUGGUUGCGGGUGGUUAAAUGAUCAUGGUGCUGCGGGAGGGCGUGCGGGUGUCGGAGGAGUUCGUCCGUCGCCUCGAGGACCCCGCCCAGGGCAGCUGCUUCGAAGCGGCUGCCAGCAGAUGGGUGGAAGGCGCCCGCGCCCGCUGCCGGAAGAAGGAGCGGGUGCGAACGUGGGACGCGCUGCCGCAUGUGUGGAAGGGCAUGGAUAUCGCCGCCUCUAAGGGUUACCCUCGCGUGCGCCAACACCGACGGAUGAGGACCCACAAGCACUCUUAGUCGCUUCCUCCGCGUUCGAACAACGGAGUGCCGGGCGUCGUAGCCUCUCCUGCGGCGCCGUCGGCUGCGGACAGCCCCCGGCCUGAUUGCGUGGACGCCGUGCUCGCCGGUGCCGUGAGGAUGGUCAGCGCCGCCCAGCGACCACCGGCCCGGAGGGCGCACUCUCGAUGGCGCAGGGAGGGACCACCGCUCCUGGCGCCAUGUGCUCGAGGGCGGCUUGACGUGGGCCCCGCUGAGCACCCACCCGGUCCACAUCCUCACGGCCGGCCUGUAUUACCCAGGCUGGUACGCGAUGCCGACCCUGGUCGUCGUGUUCUCGACGAUGCACGGCGCCGCAUUUAAGGGGCGUGACGCGACGCAAGGAGAGAGCCGCGACGCUGCGAUAACCUUGAAUAAGGUCUUUGAGUGCCUCCUCACUUGGGCGCUGAUUUCGCGCGGGUUCCCCGUCCGCAGCGCACGUUUCCCGGACGAGCGGACGACAGACCCUGUGGAUAUGAUUUGCUCGACCGCGAGCAGCAGGAGACGGUGAGACGGCAGGAAGAGAACCCACUCUUGCAGAGCAUCAGGAAGACAGGGCGCCACCACGGGCACCCGAUGGGGGCACGGCCCCGCCGACCGUGUAAGUGCGCCGCACAUGGGAGGCGUCUUUUCUUAGUUUUCUUGUCUGCUGGAGCUGCGGCUGACCUUCAUUCGGAUGGCGCCUCUGCCAUCGAUGCUUUCCUCGGGGGCAAUCUCCACACAGUCAUGCAUUCAACGUGGAGCUACUUCACUCCGUGACUCGCCGUCCACGCGUGAACCACGGCCUGUUGCAUAAAAUCCGGCGAGAAUCCCACAGACAGACCGAGUUGUGAUCUUGCACACCAAGCGCCAAGGGCCAACACCGGCGGCACGUCAAAGUGAGGCAAGAAGCGGGAAGGGCAGGUAGCUCGACACUGCUUUUGAUGCACACACGCGUACCGAUGCGCUUGUGUGAAAAGGUGCGCUCUAUUCCCAGGGUGUAUGGCUCCACGUGGAAAGCGGCCCAAUCGCUCCUGGGCCAAGCCAAAUUGACAUAGACGAAUGUGCUGACUCGCCCGUGGCCUUUGUGCAACUCUCUCUUCUCUAUCGUAUCUCUCUCUACCCCUUCCUUCCUUUUGUUACGCAG
RNAcentral lists this unclassified non-coding RNA (3460 nucleotides) under Leishmania donovani. RNAcentral's name for it is "gene:unknown". The record is from RNAcentral. Lineage: Eukaryota; Euglenozoa; Kinetoplastea; Trypanosomatida; Trypanosomatidae.